RNAcentral lists this unclassified non-coding RNA (220 nucleotides) under uncultured fungus. Its description in RNAcentral is "sequence contains ITS1". The record is from RNAcentral. Lineage: Eukaryota; Fungi.
UUAAUUUAAUUAAGUGCUUUACUUAGACGACAUAGUUAAACAAGAGUUUAAUAAUGGCUAUCGACGAGCGCGGACCAGAGGUAUAAAACCCUCCGGCGGCCCCUAUGUUUCAAAGGGCGGACUCGCCGAAGCAACAAGUAAUAAAUAGACAAAGGGUUGGAGGUCGGGCCUAAAAGACCCUAACUCGAUAAUGAUCCUUCCGCAGGUUCACCUACGGAAA